This 72-nucleotide transfer RNA is filed under the name Pethia ticto (Ticto barb). Its description in RNAcentral is "tRNA-Ile". It matches the Rfam family "tRNA". From Rfam's summary of the family: Transfer RNA (tRNA) molecules are approximately 80 nucleotides in length. Their secondary structure includes four short double-helical elements and three loops (D, anti-codon, and T loops). Lineage: Eukaryota; Metazoa; Chordata; Actinopteri; Cypriniformes; Cyprinidae. The record is from RNAcentral. RNAcentral also lists the same sequence under 1 other name.
GGAACUGUGCCCGAGCAUCUAGGAAUCACUUUGAUAGAGUGACUUACGGGGGUUAAAAUCCCCUCAGUUCCU